GAUGAAGAACGUAGCGAAAUGCGAUACGUAAUGUGAAUUGCAGAAUUCAGUGAAUCAUCGAAUCUUUGAACGCAUAUUGCGCUCUUUGGUAUUCCGAAGAGCAUGCUUGUUUGAGUAUCAGUAAACACCUCAACCUCUUCUUGAUUUUUCAAAAGGAGGGUGGACUUGAGCUAUCCCAACAACCUUUACCGGUCGGCGGGCGGCUUGAAAUGCAGGUGCAGCUGGACUUUUAUCUGAGCUAAAAGCAUAUCUAUUUAGUCCUCGUCAAACAGGAUUAUUACUUGUGCUGCAGCUAACAUAAAGGAUAAUUGUCCUCUUUGCUGACUGAUGCAGGAUUUUACGACACUUUAUGUGUUGUUCAACUCGAUCUCAAAUCAAGUAAGACUACCCGCUGAACUUAAGCAUAUCAAUAAGCGGAGGA
This 421-nucleotide unclassified non-coding RNA is filed under the name soil metagenome. RNAcentral's name for it is "partial contains 5.8S ribosomal RNA, internal transcribed spacer 2, and large subunit ribosomal RNA". The stretch from base 1 to 120 matches the Rfam family "5.8S ribosomal RNA", at positions 35 to 154 of the family's 154-position model. The record is from RNAcentral.